GACGAACGCUGGCGGCGUGCUUAACACAUGCAAGUCGAACGGUGAAGCUCCAGCUUGCUGGAGUGGAUCAGUGGCGAACGGGUGAGUAACACGUGAGCAACCUGCCCCUGACUCUGGAAUAAGCGCUGGAAACGGCGUCUAAUACUGGAUACGAGAAGGGUCCGCAUGGGCACUUUCUGGAAAGUUUUUCGGUUGGGGAUGGGCUCGCGGCCUAUCAGCUUGUUGGUGAGGUAAUGGCUCACCAAGGCGACGACGGGUAGCCGGCCUGAGAGGGCGACCGGCCACACUGGGACUGAGAUACGGCCCAGACUCCUACGGGAGGCAGCAGUGGGGAAUAUUGCACAAUGGGCGAAAGCCUGAUGCAGCGACGCCGCGUGAGGGAUGACGGCCUUCGGGUUGUAAACCUAUUUCAGCAGGGAAGAAGCGAAAGUGACGGUACCUGCAGAAGAAGCACCGGCUAACUACGUG
RNAcentral lists this ribosomal RNA (468 nucleotides) under uncultured bacterium. RNAcentral's name for it is "partial 16S ribosomal RNA". It matches the Rfam family "Bacterial small subunit ribosomal RNA", at positions 28 to 507 of the family's 1533-position model. The record is from RNAcentral.